UGGCGUCCCCCAGCUGACAGGCCUACCUGCUCCCCACUCCUUCUCCAAGAAGGGGCAGUUUGGAGAAGGUUGUGCCAGUCACUGUGACUGUGACCACUCUGAUGGCUGUGACCCUGUUCAUGGACGCUGUCAGUGCCAGGCUGGCUGGAUGGGCGCCCGCUGCCACCUGUCCUGCCCUGAGGGCUUAUGGGGAGUCAACUGUAGCAACACCUGCACCUGCAAGAAUGGGGGCACCUGUCUCCCUGAGAAUGGCAACUGUGUGUGUGCACCCGGAUUCCGAGGCCCCUCCUGCCAGAGAUGUGAGGCUCCCUACUGCCCCUUCCACCUGCCACCAGCAGGGGGGCAGUGUAGUGUCAGAUGCCAGAGCACACCCCCCCACCGCCCCCCACCUUACCCCCGGUCUCUUCCUCUGACCUGUCUUCAGACUAGUUACUGCAGUGGGAAGGAGGGAGGGAGACGGUGGGGUAAGGGCUGAUUGA
RNAcentral lists this small RNA (479 nucleotides) under Pongo abelii (Sumatran orangutan). RNAcentral describes it as "retained intron". The record is from RNAcentral. Lineage: Eukaryota; Metazoa; Chordata; Mammalia; Primates; Hominidae.